Molecule: ribosomal RNA, 423 nt
Filed under: uncultured Thermoprotei archaeon
Lineage: Archaea; Thermoproteati; Thermoproteota; Thermoprotei
Description: bacterial SSU rRNA
Rfam family: Archaeal small subunit ribosomal RNA
Source: RNAcentral
CCUAUGGGGGGCAGCAGGCGCGAAACCUUUGCAAUAAGCGAAAGCUUGACAGGGCUAUCCCGAGUGCCAUCCGCUGAGGAAGGCUUUUACCCAGUCUAGAAAGCUGGGGGAAUAAGGAGAGGGCAAGUCUGGUGUCAGCCGCCGCGGUAAUACCAGCUCUUCGAGUGGUGUGGAUGUUUAUUGGGCCUAAAGCAUCCGUAGCUGGCUAGGUCAGUCCCUUGUUAAAUCCACCGAAUUAAUCGUUGGAUCGCGGGGGAUACUGCUUGGCUAGGGGACGAGAGAGGCAGACGGUAUUUUCGGGGUAGGGGUGAAAUCCUAUAAUCCCGGGAAGACCACCAGUGGCGAAGGCUGUCUGCUAGAACGCGCCCGACGGUGAGGGAUGAAAGCUGGGGGAGCGAACCGGAUUAGAUACCCGCGUAGUCC